RNAcentral lists this ribosomal RNA (258 nucleotides) under uncultured bacterium. RNAcentral's name for it is "partial 16S ribosomal RNA". It matches the Rfam family "Bacterial small subunit ribosomal RNA", at positions 96 to 354 of the family's 1533-position model. The record is from RNAcentral.
UGGCGGACGGGUGAGUAACGCGUGGAUAACCUGCCGUAUGCAGGGGGAUACCAACUGGAAACAGUUGCUAAUACCGCAUAAGCGCACAGUACCGCAUGGUAUAGUGUAAAAAGAUUUAUCGGCAUACGAUGGAUCCGCGUCCGAUUAGCCAGUUGGCGGGGUAGAAGCCCACCAAAGCGACGAUCGGUAGCCGGCCUGAGAGGGCGGACGGCCACAUUGGGACUGAGACACGGCCCAAACUCCUACGGAAGGCAGCAG